RNAcentral lists this ribosomal RNA (452 nucleotides) under Kladothrips rodwayi. Its description in RNAcentral is "partial 16S ribosomal RNA". Lineage: Eukaryota; Metazoa; Arthropoda; Insecta; Thysanoptera; Phlaeothripidae. The record is from RNAcentral.
UUCUUAUUAAUUUAUUUAUAAUAGGUAUAAUCUGUCCAGUGAAUAAUUUAAACGGCUAUAAUUAUAUUAAAGUAGCGUAAUAAUUUGUCAUUUAAUUAAUGAAUAUAAUGAAGAUUUUAUGAAUUAAAUACUGUCUCUAAAAUAUAAAACAAAAUUAAUAGUUUAGUGAAAAAGCUUAAUUAUUUUUAAAAGACGAUAAGACCCUAUAGAACUUAUUUUAAAUUUUAAAUUUACUGGGGAAGUAAAAAUAAAAACAAAAUUAUUUUUGAAUAUAAAAACUUGAAGUUUUUUUAACCACUAAUUAGUGAUUAAAAAGUUACCUUAGGGAUAACAGCAUUAAAAAUAUAAAAAGUUCUUAUUUUAAUAUUUUUUAAUGACCUCGAUGUUGAAUUAAGAUAUAAUUAAAAAGUAAAAAUUUUAUUUAAUAAGGUCUGUUCGACCUUUAAAAUCUU